Molecule: ribosomal RNA, 253 nt
Filed under: uncultured bacterium
Lineage: Bacteria
Description: partial 16S ribosomal RNA
Rfam family: Bacterial small subunit ribosomal RNA
Source: RNAcentral
UACAGAGGUCUCAAGCGUUGUUCGGAUUCAUUGGGCGUAAAGGGUGCGUAGGCGGCGGGGCAAGUCUGAUGUGAAAUCCUGGGGCUCAACCCCAGAACUGCAUUGGAUACUGCUUUGCUAGAGUACUGGAGAGGGAACUGGAAUUUACGGUGUAGCAGUGAAAUGCGUAGAGAUCGUAAGGAAGGCCAGUGGCGAAGGCGAGUUCCUGGACAGUGACUGACGCUGAGGCACGAAGGCCAGGGGAGCAAACGGG